UGCUUCCUGAGCCACCAGCGGGGGCAUAGACGUUGGGUCAUCACCAGACACAACAGCAAAGCUGCUGGUGUUGCUUUCUUCUCCGUCGUGUGAGUCACUGGUCUGGUUGUUCAUAUUUCGGUGGACAGAUUUUGUCACCGUCAUCGCUCUGCAACCGUACAAUAUGCAUGCAUGGAACAGACACGCAAAGGCCCGGCAGCAGCAGAGCUGGGGCGAAAGAUGAAGAUACGGCUGCCACAGACCGGAACAGGGGGUGCCCGCAGAUCUGUGACUCACGGCCACACCGUUGGUCUCAUGAGGGGAGUAAUCCAGCCGUCACACUCCGCGUGAAGAAGGCCGCAUUCUUCCCGCCGGCCAGUGACAUCACAGAUUUUUUUUAAAGCUGCUGAUUCCUGGACCGCCAUCUCUUCGCACACAAAGAAACAAACAGUGUCUCUGGAGGAGAUGGAGGAUUCUAGCAGGAGUCAAUGGGCCUGAGGAGGAGGAAGAACAUCAUCCUGGACAGUUAGUACGAGGACAACGCCUGGGUUCACGUCACGAGGAGCGCGCUGAUACACUACACGGUGCUCCUCAUCCUUCAGGAGAUGAGGGCUGUGAACUGUGAAGUAAUGGGAUUCAAGUGAGCGUCAGAUACACGCUCACUCUCACACACAGCGACCCGCUGACGGCUAGUGUGAGGGUACUGGGAGGAUGUCCUACAUGCACCUGAAACAUAAGAGUCUCUCCACAAAAAUGUGUAGCAAUGCAAACAAAAAAUAGUAAGGAAUCCACAAAUAAAAAUAGUUUUUUAAACUUAUUUCAGCUAACUUGUGGACAUUACUGGGGUAACGUAUCACGUGCUAAAGACAAGCGUCUCGACUUGUGUCAAGAGGCACUUACAGAUGUAAUGGGGGGUUGGGCGAGUGCAGCCAUUUAAAAAAAAAACAUUUUAGGCUCUGAUAAUAAAUUAAACGGAAAUAAUAUACGUUACUUAUUCUUUCUGUGCUCCCUAGAUUAUGAGGUGAGAGUAUUAGCUCACAAGGUCACGCCCAUGCAACAACUUUUUCAUCAGGGUAUUUCUAUCAAUCAGAUGUCUCCAUUUUCAGCCAACAGGUUACAGGCUCAAUGGUUUGAAUGCAACCGUAACAGCAUCCAAAAACAUUUUUGAUAAAACAUUCUUAUUUGUGUGUGUGACUCAAAAAUAAAUUUGUGAAUCCUUCUGUUCUUUGACGACAUAAUUAUCCACGCACACUCACG
Long non-coding RNA from Gasterosteus aculeatus aculeatus (three-spined stickleback), 1236 nucleotides. Lineage: Eukaryota; Metazoa; Chordata; Actinopteri; Perciformes; Gasterosteidae. The record is from Ensembl.